This 443-nucleotide ribosomal RNA is filed under the name uncultured bacterium. RNAcentral's name for it is "SSU rRNA". It matches the Rfam family "Bacterial small subunit ribosomal RNA", at positions 26 to 518 of the family's 1533-position model. The record is from RNAcentral.
AGAGCGAACGCUGGCGGCAGGCCUAACACAUGCAAGUCGAGCGCCCCGCAAGGGGAGCGGCAGACGGGAGAGUAACACGUGGGAACGUACCCUUCAGUUCGGAACAACCCAGGGAAACUUGGGCUAAUACCGAAUACGUCCGUAAGGAGAAAGAUUUAUCGCUGAAGGAUCGGCCCGCGUCUGAUUAGCUUGUUGGUGAGGUAACGGCUCACCAAGGCGACGAUCAGUAGCUGGUCUGAGAGGAUGAUCAGCCUCACUGGGACUGAGACACGGCCCAGACUCCUACGGGAGGCAGCAGUGGGGAAUAUUGGACAAUGGGCGCAAGCCUGAUCCAGCCAUGCCGCGUGGGUGAUGAAGGCCCUAGGGUUGUAAAGCCCUUUCGGCGGGGAAGAUAAUGACGGUACCCGCAGAAGAAGCCCGGCUAACUUCGCGCUAGCAGCCGC